This is a non-coding RNA of Manacus vitellinus (golden-collared manakin), 74 nucleotides long. The record is from Rfam. Lineage: Eukaryota; Metazoa; Chordata; Aves; Passeriformes; Pipridae.
AAUUGGCUUAAUCUCAGCUGGCAACUGUGAGCACUCCAGAACCCCUCACGGUUGGAGCUGGGAUUGUGCUAAAC